Molecule: non-coding RNA, 30 nt
Filed under: Mus musculus (house mouse)
Lineage: Eukaryota; Metazoa; Chordata; Mammalia; Rodentia; Muridae
Source: RNAcentral
UGUGAAAGGACACAGUAUUUCUCAUCCUGU